GGGGAUGCAGCUCAGCGGUAGAGCGCAUGCUUUGCAUGUGUGAGGUCCAGGGUUCAAUCCCCUGCAUCUCCA
This is a non-coding RNA of Pygocentrus nattereri (red-bellied piranha), 72 nucleotides long. NCBI's taxonomy places the organism in Eukaryota, Metazoa, Chordata, Actinopteri, Characiformes, Serrasalmidae. The record is from the annotation of a RefSeq genome assembly.